RNAcentral lists this ribosomal RNA (253 nucleotides) under uncultured bacterium. RNAcentral describes it as "partial 16S ribosomal RNA". It matches the Rfam family "Bacterial small subunit ribosomal RNA", at positions 524 to 776 of the family's 1533-position model. The record is from RNAcentral.
GACGUAGGGCGCGAGCGUUGUCCGGAAUUAUUGGGCGUAAAGAGCUCGUAGGCGGUUUGUUGCGUCGGCUGUGAAAUCCCGAGGCUCAACCUCGGGUCUGCAGUCGAUACGAGCAAACUAGAGUGUUGCAGGGGAGACUGGAAUUCCUGGUGUAGUGGUGAAAUGCGUAGAUAUCGGGAGGAACACCAGUGGCGAAGGCGACUUCCUGGCCUGUUCUUGACGCUGAGGCGCGAAAGCUAGGGGAGCAAACGGG